AUACUUACCUGGCAGGAGAUACUAUGAUCAAGAAGGUGGUUCACCCAGGCGAGGUUCAGCCAUUGCACUCCGGUUGUGUUGACUCCUCUGCGACUCCCCAAAUGUGGGAAUCUCGAUCGCAAUAAUUUCGAUAGUGGGGACUGUCAAGGCUUCCCUG
Molecule: small nuclear RNA, 157 nt
Organism: Xiphias gladius (swordfish)
Lineage: Eukaryota; Metazoa; Chordata; Actinopteri; Istiophoriformes; Xiphiidae
Product: U1 spliceosomal RNA
Exons: 1
Source: RefSeq, a predicted model, not a curated record